This 497-nucleotide ribosomal RNA is filed under the name uncultured bacterium. RNAcentral describes it as "partial 16S ribosomal RNA". It matches the Rfam family "Bacterial small subunit ribosomal RNA", at positions 28 to 507 of the family's 1533-position model. The record is from RNAcentral.
GAUGAACGCUGGCGGCGUGCCUAAUACAUGCAAGUCGAGCGAACGGACGAGAAGCUUGCUUCUCUGAUGUUAGCGGCGGACGGGUGAGUAACACGUGGAUAACCUACCUAUGAGACUGGGAUAACUUCGGGAAACCGGAGCUAAUACCGGAUGAUAUUUUGAACCGCAUGGUUCAAAAGUGAAAGACGGUCUUGCUUUCACUUAUAGAUGGAUCCGCGCUGCAUUAGCUAGUUGGUAAGGUAACGGCUUACCAAGGCAACGAUGCAUAGCCGACCUGAGAGGGUGAUCGGCCACACUGGAACUGAGACACGGUCCAGACUCCUACGGGAGGCAGCAGUAGGGAAUCUUCCGCAAUGGGCGAAAGCCUGACGGAGCAACGCCGCGUGAGUGAUGAAGGUCUUCGGAUCGUAAAACUCUGUUAUUAGGGAAGAACAUAUGUGUAAGUAACUGUGCACAUCUUGACGGUACCUAAUCAGAAAGCCACGGCUAACUACGUG